RNAcentral lists this microRNA precursor (213 nucleotides) under Prunus dulcis (almond). Its description in RNAcentral is "sRNA ncRNA". The record is from RNAcentral. Lineage: Eukaryota; Viridiplantae; Streptophyta; Magnoliopsida; Rosales; Rosaceae.
UGGCAGCAGAUCUCUCUCUCUCUCUCUCUCUCUCUCUCUCUGUAUAUAUAUAUAUAUAUUCACAAGUUCAAGUAAAGAGAAAAAGAAAAGGCACCUUUUGUACUAGAUUGAUAUUCAAAACAUGAAAUAUGUAACCACUGGAUCGAUCAUAUUUAUUUAUCCACAGAGGGAGAGAGAGAGAGAGAGAGAGAGAGAGAGAGAGAGAGAGAAAUG